Molecule: ribosomal RNA, 305 nt
Filed under: uncultured bacterium
Lineage: Bacteria
Description: bacterial SSU rRNA
Rfam family: Bacterial small subunit ribosomal RNA
Source: RNAcentral
CCUACGGGCGCGCAGUGGGGAAUAUUGCGCAAUGGGGGAAACCCUGACGCAGCAACGCCGCGUGAGCGAUGAAGGUUUUCGGAUUGUAAAGCUCUGUCUUUGGAGAAGAUAAUGACGGUACCCAAGGAGGAAGCCCCGGCUAACUACGUGCCAGCAGCCGCGGUAAUACGUAGGGGGCAAGCGUUGUCCGGAUUCACUGGGCGUAAAGAGCACGUAGGCGGUUAUUUAAGUCAGGUGUGAAAGUUUUCGGCUCAACCGGAAAAGGGCACUUGAAACUGGAUAACUUGAGAAUCGGAGAGGUAAGG